RNAcentral lists this long non-coding RNA (3609 nucleotides) under Gallus gallus (chicken). Lineage: Eukaryota; Metazoa; Chordata; Aves; Galliformes; Phasianidae. The record is from RNAcentral.
GUUCUGCCUGUGGCCCUCAAAGGAAGGAAGUUGCCAGCACAACGUGUGUGUGCAUCCAGAAAUCUCAAAAUCGGCGAAAGUCAUCUCUCUCAGAGGAAAGCAUCACAAGAUAAAACCAGAAGUGAAUGACCUAGUAUUUUUUUAUCUGAGAGUGGUAACAAUCCAUAUUCAUUCUUCCUAACCAUUCGGGAAACGGUGAGCUGCUCUCAUUUAACUGACCAUGGAGCAGAAUCUGCUUCCCCUGCAGUGUGCCAGCUAACAUGCCCAAUGUCUGCUAAAUGGACACAGGGAGAUGCUUGGCUGGUUCCUGACUUGAAGGAUAAAUACACGCUGAGAUGAAACUGACUUCCCGGAAGAAUGUAACUGUCUCUAUUUGGCACAGUUGCCUACUAAUGCUUAAUGAUUCAGAAGUCUUAACUCUGUAAAAUUAGGUUGAAAUUGCCCAAGUGGUGUCCUAAGUUAGUAGUGAAAGGACUGGAACAGACACGAGUACAAGUUACAUGUUCUAGUUCUGUUGGAAAACAGAAAAGAAUUAUCAUAGAAUCACAGAAUGGCUUGUGUUGGAAGGGACCUUUAUGAUUAUCAAAUUCCAGCCCCCUGCUGUGGGCCGGGUGGCCACCCACCAGAUCAGGCUGACCAAAGCCUCCUCAAACCUGGCCUUGAACACCUACAGUGAUGGGGCAUCCGCAGCUUCUCUGGGCAGCCUGGGCCACUGCCUCACCACCCUCUGAGUAAAUAAUUUCCUCCUAACAUUCAAUCUAAAUGUCCCCUCUUUUAGUUUAAAGCCAUUCCCCCUUGUUCUAUCACUGUCUGCACAUGUAAUAUUAUGUUAACAAGACAUCAUUUUAAAGAAGAGCCAUCCUGGGAAGUGGUGAUCAGCUUCUCUCAUGUGUUUUAAGUCAGGGAUCGCUUAUCCAAAAAGAAGAGACAGACUGACUGUUUGAGAAUUUGCUUUAUCUUGCUCAUCAUGUAUAUAUUUUAGUUAGGGACUAAAAUAAAAUAUUUAAGGUAUCAGAAAAACAGGAGGACUUGCAGUGACUGUUUCCCCAACAGACUUUUUGCAGACUGCUCACAUAUGUCAGCGAUACAAAGUGGUGCAUUUGCUGAGGUAAAAAGACUCUGCGCCAGAGGGCUGUAGAACACAUUGCCUCCUCCCUUGGGGCUUCAGGUACCUGCUGCAAGACACUUUGCUAUCCCUUUCCGUAAAUAAUAAAUGCAAUUACUGUUGUUGUUUCCUGGCCUACAUGGCUAGGACUGCUGGGUUUUCAUCUGAGUUAUGGUUUUGAGCAAGCUGAGGAUUUUGGUUUUGAUGAGAGCUUGCUGAUCAUCUGCUGUGUUUAUUCGUGGCAUCAGAUAUUUCCCAAGAUAUGGAUUCUAAAUAUUGUGGUUCACAUUAUGUUUUGAAGGAAAAAAAGUAUACUUAUCCAGAAGAGUUUUUUGAAAACCAAUUUAUAAUUUAUCUUUUUUACUGUUGCUGUCAACAGUCAUCUGUAGUUAGUUUGAAAUGACCUGAAUAUAAUAUUUUUAUUCUAUUUACUAGUUGAGUAAUUUCCAUAGAUAAUUCUUGGUUUAGGAAUUGUUUUGUUUGUGAACUUCAAGCAGGCCAGGUAACUGCCUGUUCCCUGUCCAGCCAAACCCUUCAGGAUGACCUUUCUGUUAAAUCCAGGUAAAAUGUCAAAAACUCUUGUCUUUUGAGUGUUUCUUCAUAGUUGCUUAUGAUGCAUUUUAUUCACCUACUUAGAAAAAGUAUACAGAAAUUGUCAGCACAGUAAAAGUAAACUGGAGUUAUUCAUGCAAAUAACUCUUCGUGGUUUAAAAAAAUGUCGCUUUUUGCAUCUUGUAUUUUGUGCUUAUUAAAUGUGAGUGGAAUAGAUUAGUAUAAUGAAUAUAAAUUUCUGCUAAAACAGUCAAAUGAAGAAGUAGAUGCUUUCUGGGAGAUAUUACUGAGCUAAAUGUGAGGUCCUGGUCUCUCUUAAAGUAUAAAUUGAUUAGACGAUGUCAGACCAGCUGAUGCAGUGGUAUCUCCUCAUUUAAAGUCUUGUGAUUUAUCUAUGCCAUAGAUAUUGUACACACCUCUGUAUUUGAGUUAUGUCUUGCACUUAACUUCUUUGUGGUACUUAGCAUUGACAGGGGAAGAACAUUUACAUUUUAAAGUGAUUUUUACUGUAAGUUAGUGGCACUAUCUGUGUACUCUUGCAGUCUGUCUAUAAAUAUGAGGGUGCUCUAAAGGUAAUGCCUCCUAUUUUAUUAUUUUGGCCUGUGAAAUUGAAAGCAGAUGUCAGUGGAAUGGUAGGAGAUGUUGAACCUUCCUGACAAUAUUCCGUUACGUGUUGUUGCCAUGUGACAGAUGGCAGCAGAGGGGCAGUCUGACAGAAUGGCAUCUGACAUGGAAGAGCGUACGAAGCAAAGGUGUGUCACUCAGUUCCUCUAUGUGGAAACAAUGGCUUGCAGCGACAUUGAAGCUUGCUGGACAUUUGUGGGGACCAAGCAGUGGAUGUGAGCACAGUAAGACAGUGGGUGCUGCGUUUCAGCGGUGGUGACAGUGACAGUGGGUGACCCCCUCUCAUGCAGAUUUAUAUGAGUGCGGCAUGCAGGCUCUUAUUCAUCACUGGUGAAAAUGUGUAGCUAGUGGUGGUGGCUAUGUUGAAGAAAAAGGAUGUUUUAUAGCUGAGAACUUGCUCUAUCAAACAGUGUUAUUCUGCUUUGUGUAUCUGUUGUAGUUUCUGUGGAAAUAAAUAGGAGGCAUUACUUUUAGUUUGACCUACAUAUAAUACCUAUAUGCAGUAGGUACAAAAAUGUUGUGUGUAUUGAAGCUAAGGAAAUAUAUUUGUGGCAUGUUAUGACUAGAAAAAAAGUCACCACUUGAAGAUGCUUAAAGGUUUGGAACACUAGUAUUAGUCCUUGGAGAGAGGAUUGUGGUUAGGGAAUUAUAAAUGCAUGCUAAAUUAAUGAAUCCCACUGCUUUAUCACAUAGCUGAGGUUUUUGAGGGAAUAUUUGCAGAAAAAAAAUUCCCCUUAUUCAUCCACAUACAGGAUUUUCUCUUCAGUGAUACGCCUUGCUUAAUGUCACGGAUACAAAAGAUUAAGUCCUGGGGUAAUAGGUUAUCUGUUUCUAUGCUGUAACUUUCAUUGUGCUUUGUAACUGUACAUCACACAAGGCGAAUAUUUGUAUUAUUUCAUUACCAUUGUGGUUCCAAAUUACCACAGUUAGUAUGUAACUUAAAACCCUCAGCUCUCUCUCUCUAUAAAAACAGUAUAUUUUAGAUAGAUUAGUGGUCUUUUGAUACUGAGUGAUACAAAGAUUCAACUCAACUGAUGUCAGGACAUUCAAAUACCAAGAAUUUAAUACUCCCAAGUUUGAAAUAUUCAAGUCCAGUUUAACUGUCUGGGUUGGACUGUAUCUAACAAAGAGGGAUGGGAAGUACUGAAGUCUCACAGGCACAGAACAUUAGGAACUCACCCUUGGGGGAGAAGAGCCCUUUCUGUGGUCCCUAAUUUUUGCUCAGAGCCUGGAGAAAUAAUCCCAGGCAGAAAGCUCAGGCUGAGGGAGAAGUAUAAUUCAUAAAAAUGCUUUUAAUCUCUCUUUACCAGAAGAAAAAAAAGAAAAGA